RNAcentral lists this ribosomal RNA (498 nucleotides) under uncultured bacterium. RNAcentral's name for it is "partial 16S ribosomal RNA". It matches the Rfam family "Bacterial small subunit ribosomal RNA", at positions 29 to 523 of the family's 1533-position model. The record is from RNAcentral.
AUUGAACGCUGGCGGCACGCUUUACACAUGCAAGUCGAACGGUAACAGGCCGCAAGGUGCUGACGAGUGGCGAACGGGUGAGUAAUGCAUCGGAACGUGCCCAGUCGUGGGGGAUAACGCAGCGAAAGCUGCGCUAAUACCGCAUACGAUCUAGGGAUGAAAGCGGGGGACCGUAAGGCCUCGCGCGAUUGGAGCGGCCGAUGUCAGAUUAGGUAGUUGGUGGGGUAAAGGCUCACCAAGCCAACGAUCUGUAGCUGGUCUGAGAGGACGACAAGCAACACUGGAACUGAGACACGGCACAGACGCCUACGGGAUGCAGCCGUGGGGAAUGUGGGACAAUGGGCGCAAGCCUGAUCCAGCAAUGCCGCGGGCAGGAAGAAGGCCUUCGGGUUGUAAACUGCUGUUGUACGGAACGAAACGGUCCUGGUUAAUACCUGGGGCUAAUGACGGUACCGUAAGAAUAAGCACCGGCUAACUACGUGCCAGCCGCCGCCGUAA